AUGAACGCUGGCGGCGUGCCUAAUACAUGCCAGUCGAGCGAACAGAUGAGGAGCUUGCUCCUCUGACGUUAGCGGCGGACGGGUGAGUAACACGUGGAUAACCUACCUAUAAGACUGGGAUAACUUCGGGAAACCGGAGCUAAUACCGGAUAAUAUAUUGAACCGCAUGGUUCAAUAGUGAAAGACGGUUUUGCUGUCACUUAUAGAUGGAUCCGCGCCGCAUUAGCUAGUUGGUAAGGUAACGGCUUACCAAGGCAACGAUGCGUAGCCGACCUGAGAGGGUGAUCGGCCACACUGGAACUGAGACACGGUCCAGACUCCUACGGGAGGCAGCAGUAGGGAAUCUUCCGCAAUGGGCGAAAGCCUGACGGAGCAACGCCGCGUGAGUGAUGAAGGUCUUCGGAUCGUAAAACUCUGUUAUUAGGGAAGAACAAAUGUGUAAGUAACUAUGCACGUCUUGACGGUACCUAAUCAGAAGGCCACGGCUAACUACGUG
Molecule: ribosomal RNA, 496 nt
Filed under: uncultured bacterium
Lineage: Bacteria
Description: partial 16S ribosomal RNA
Rfam family: Bacterial small subunit ribosomal RNA
Source: RNAcentral